This 667-nucleotide ribosomal RNA is filed under the name Vibrio sp. RNAcentral describes it as "bacterial SSU rRNA". It matches the Rfam family "Bacterial small subunit ribosomal RNA", at positions 54 to 700 of the family's 1533-position model. Lineage: Bacteria; Pseudomonadati; Pseudomonadota; Gammaproteobacteria; Vibrionales; Vibrionaceae. The record is from RNAcentral.
CAUGCAAGUCGAGCGGAAACGACACUAACAAUCCUUCGGGUGCGUUAAUGGGCGUCGAGCGGCGGACGGGUGAGUAAUGCCUAGGAAAUUGCCUUGAUGUGGGGGAUAACCAUUGGAAACGAUGGCUAAUACCGCAUAAUGCCUACGGGCCAAAGAGGGGGAUCUUCGGACCUCUCGCGUCAAGAUAUGCCUAGGUGGGAUUAGCUAGUUGGUGAGGUAAUGGCUCACCAAGGCGACGAUCCCUAGCUGGUCUGAGAGGAUGAUCAGCCACACUGGAACUGAGACACGGUCCAGACUCCUACGGGAGGCAGCAGUGGGGAAUAUUGCACAAUGGGCGAAAGCCUGAUGCAGCCAUGCCGCGUGUAUGAAGAAGGCCUUCGGGUUGUAAAGUACUUUCAGUUGUGAGGAAGGGGGUAACGUUAAUAGCGUUAUCUCUUGACGUUAGCAACAGAAGAAGCACCGGCUAACUCCGUGCCAGCAGCCGCGGUAAUACGGAGGGUGCGAGCGUUAAUCGGAAUUACUGGGCGUAAAGCGCAUGCAGGUGGUUCAUUAAGUCAGAUGUGAAAGCCCGGGGCUCAACCUCGGAACUGCAUUUGAAACUGGUGAACUAGAGUGCUGUAGAGGGGGGUAGAAUUUCAGGUGUAGCGGUGAAAUGCGUAGAGAUCUG